Molecule: long non-coding RNA, 883 nt
Filed under: Numida meleagris (helmeted guineafowl)
Lineage: Eukaryota; Metazoa; Chordata; Aves; Galliformes; Numididae
Description: lncRNA (ENSNMEG00000004692.1)
Source: RNAcentral
UACAGUAGCCUUUUAUUGCCUCUGCGUCCAUGCACUCAGCAGAGUGAGCAACAUGGUAGGAGAAGCGCAAGAAAAUUAAUCGAAAGCUGGAGGGCUUUGAAGGUGUGAUGGAGUCACUGAACUUUGCUAGCCCUUUCUGGAAUACACCUAAGCCAACUCAAAAACAUAUGUAUUUUACAUGGGUAAACAAGUGACUAGAGAUAGUGCAGGAUAUGUUUCCAUUCAACUGCGUUACGGUACUAUUUAUAGCACUGUGGAUUAACAAAUGAGUCAUCCUGCCAAUAAUAUUCCAGCUGAAUAACAAUAACUAUUCCACAUGCUUAUUUCUGUUUUUUUUUUUUUUUAAUUUAUUUUCUUGUUUGUUUGCUUUCAAAAAGCUUUUUCUGGGUGGAAUCCUAUUGUUUAUGUAAGCGUUAACCAAAUACGUAAAUAAAUAACAGUGCAAAAAACUUUGAAUUUUGUUGUUGUGGAUUUUUUUUUUUGGUUGUUUUCUUUUGUUUUGUUUUUCAGGACCAAGUGAACUGCAUAAUUCAGGAGCAGGCUGCAGUGGCUUUCCUGAGAUCUGAAUGGUCAGAAUCUAAUCCUCUCAUCACCUGAACAACUCGCAGACAGCAGUGGUCUCUUUGAAAAUCUGGUCCAUGCUGCUGCUUGCUGGGCCUUGAGGCAACACAGUUACAUUGAAGAGCCUCUGGCAAUGCUGGCUUACACAGAAACUCAAGAACUGCCAUGUGCCUGACAUCAUACCUUUGGAAGAAAAGAGAAGUCCUGGGUGUUAGCCCAAGACUGGUGAGUAAAACAUAGUCCACGGACUAGAGUCAGUUUAUGUUUGUUAGUGAUUUUCAGGCCUGUCACACCCAGUAUCUUCGCCCUGUAAAUCUGUCAC